Molecule: ribosomal RNA, 1239 nt
Filed under: Triticum aestivum (bread wheat)
Lineage: Eukaryota; Viridiplantae; Streptophyta; Magnoliopsida; Poales; Poaceae
Description: partial small subunit ribosomal RNA
Source: RNAcentral
AUGGUUCGGUUUCUGACUGAGCUUACAAUCAUGUCCAUGUGUGGCGUGCGGCGCAGGGAGAGGGAGGCCCGGCCGGCGACGAUGGCGGAAGACCGCAGCUGGAUGUACACGGGCCGCCAGAGCAGGAAGAAGUUCACCCCCGAGUGGUUGGAGAAGACGACCGAGUUCGUGGAGCGCGCCUUCCGCAUCCUCCCGCCGGGGCGCCAUGCCGUCGUGCUGUGCCCCUGCGCUCGCUGCGAGUUCAGGCUGUACAGAUCGAAGGACGAGAUUCAGUUGCAUCUGUUCAAGAACGGGUUCGCGCCAGGGUACACGGUGUGGGUGUACCACGGCGAGCGCCACAACCCCCAGCCUGCUAAGCCGUCAGACGACCACCCCAAAGAGAACGGCGAUCUCAACGGGAUGAAGGAUGGCGCCGGCGGUGGCGAGCAAGCGUCGAAAUCAGCGCAGGGGACCAAGAAGUGGGCGUGUGCAAGAGGCAAGCCACCAAAGAAGGAUCAACUGUGGGCGCGGGCUGCGCCGCAGGGAGAGGGAGGCCCAGCGACGAUGGCGGACGACCGCAGCUGGAUGUACACGGGCCGCCAGAGCAGGGAGUCCAUCACCCCCGAGUGGGUGGAGAAGACGACCGAGUUCGUGGAGCGCGCCUUCCGCGGCGUCCCGCCGGAGCGCCAGGACGUGGGCAUGCUGUGCCCCUGCGCGCGCUGCCGCAACCGCAACAGGCGGCCGAGGACCAAGUACGCCAUGCAGCUGGAUCUGGGCAGGAACGGCUUCAUGCCAGGGUACACGGUGUGGGUGCACCACGGCGAGGGCCACAACCCCCAGCCUGCCAAGCCGUCCGACGACCAUGGUGGCGGCGAGCAAGUGUCGAAACCGCAGGGGACCAAGAAGUGGGAAAUGCCCUUGCUUGAGGCGUAUGCAAGAAGCAAGCUACCAAAAGAGGAUCAAAUUAAGUGGAGCUACCAAAAAUACCUGUGGGAACAAGAGAAAAUCAAGCAGCAGCAGAGUGCACCAAAGACAAAGAGGCUGCGCACCUCCGGUUCGCCCACUGCCAAGCCUGCUGAAGAUGAAGGGCGCAAUGUCAGCGUCCCGGAGCCUGAACUUGAAGAUACGGCAACGUCAACAGCUGAUGGCCCUGCAGCUAAUCCGGCGACUACAGCCAACGCGCAAGGAGUUCAAAUCCCAGCUGGACCGACGGCUCGUCCCAAGCGCAAGACUGGCCCGCCCGGGUGGCAUUCCGUGUAA